UUUGCUGCGUUGGUCCGUUUGCGGCGCCAAUGGAAGUCGACGGCAGUCGUCGGUAUCGUUGGCAUCCCGGCGCUUAGCGCAGUUUAUCGUGCGCCGUCCACGCGCGCGUUUUCUUCGUGCGCGCGCGCGCGCUCGCUCACAUACAUACAAACAUACAUUCAUACAUAAACCUUUUUUCUUUUUCUUUUUUUUCUUUUUUUCAACCGGGUUCAUUUUAAAUAAUAUUUUUCGUGCUUGUUAACAACGUGCGUGCGUGUUCGCGUGCGUGUUUGCGUGCUUGCUUAUUUGCUUAUUUACGCGUGUAAGUAAGUAAGUAAGUGCAUACGUGCGUGUGUUUCGAAUACACACUUGAUCGAAAGGAUCCCUUAAAGGACACUCGCUCUUCUCCCUUCCCCACCUUCCCUUCUCUGCUUCUCCUUUACUACAAAAAAAUCAUUCGUACCGUUUUACGAUAAAUACCAAUUUGACGUAUUAUUAUUGUUAUCGAUAAAAUUACAAACUGGUAUCGUAUUCGAGUACCUGGUCCAACCGAUUAGAAAAUUUGUCAAUGAAUUCAUUAACUUGAAUUCUAAUAAUUGAAAUUUACGAAUUGUUAUAAAAUAAAUGAAUUAAAACGAG
Molecule: long non-coding RNA, 618 nt
Filed under: Polistes fuscatus (common paper wasp)
Lineage: Eukaryota; Metazoa; Arthropoda; Insecta; Hymenoptera; Vespidae
Description: uncharacterized LOC122517414
Source: RNAcentral